This 294-nucleotide unclassified non-coding RNA is filed under the name Hevea brasiliensis (rubber tree). Lineage: Eukaryota; Viridiplantae; Streptophyta; Magnoliopsida; Malpighiales; Euphorbiaceae. The record is from RNAcentral.
AAUUUGUGAUCUUUUAAAGAGAAGUCCAUAAUUAUAUUAUCUAUCUGUCUUUUAACAUUCAGAAAAAGUUGUAAUAUCAAUUACUUUAGUAGUUGGAGGUUUAUGAACCUUAGCAUGGUUUAGCGCUCUUAAGUUUCUGAAACUAAACUGUUGUUGGUCAUGUUGGGAUCUUAAGGGCAGCUUGUGACAUUUCCAUCAUCAGCAUUGAGUGUCUGACAGCGUUAAAGUUAAGAUAAUAUGUGAAUUCUAUAAUUCCAAAGUAGAGGAACUUUGGUUUGGGUUCUCAUUUGUAGG